This 504-nucleotide non-coding RNA is filed under the name Bos taurus (domestic cattle). Lineage: Eukaryota; Metazoa; Chordata; Mammalia; Artiodactyla; Bovidae. The record is from RNAcentral.
CCAAAAAAAGAAAAAGCAAAACCAGAGUACCAGGUGAGGUGCGUCUGCAGGUAAGCGGCCAGUGAGCGGCACACUCAGUCCAGUUCACUGUGCUGGGCUGUUCUGUGCACAGCUCGGGAGGCAGUGCGCGGAGGUCCCGGGCUGUCACAGACGGGCGCUCUCUGCAGCCGCGAAGGCCCCGGCGGCGGGCGGCCGAGUGCCCUGCUGUCCCGCAGGUACCUGCUGUGCUGGACAAGGGAGCUGCAAGCAUCUGCACCUUGGGGCCGAGAGUCUGAAUCCAGGCCGCUGGGUGCAGUGCAGGCCAGCUCGGUGGGUCCGGUUGUGUGUGGGUGAGGGGGCCGGCCGGGUCCCAGUGGAGGCCCCGGCCCGCCGAGCCUCAGCUGGCGUGGGGCUGUGUCCGGGCCGGGUGUCUGAAGUCCAGGUCGGGUGAGUGCAGUCCGGGCGGUCGCAGUGGGUCUGGUGAGUGUGGGUGAGGAGGGUCGGGUCCCAGGGCGCCCCCGGGCC